Molecule: non-coding RNA, 218 nt
Organism: Pelobates cultripes (western spadefoot toad)
Lineage: Eukaryota; Metazoa; Chordata; Amphibia; Anura; Pelobatidae
Source: the annotation of a GenBank genome assembly
CCUCCUAGUUUAAAUACAUCCUAGCAAAACCUCUGAACUGCUCACUGAGAACAUUUGUUCCCUUUUGAGAAAGAUGCAAACCAUCUUUUUUGUACAGCUUAUCUCCAUUCCAAACAGAGCUACCAUGAGAAAUAAAGCCAAAUCCUUGCUCCCGACACCAUUCACCAAGCCACAAAUUAAAGUCCCUAAUACGCAUCCGCCUGUCGUUCUGAGUGUUA